GAGAAUGAACUGGAGGGGGUGGGGAGUGUACAGGUGGAGGAGGUGAAUGAACUGGUGGUGGUGGAGAGUGAAUUGGUGGGGGUGGAGAAUGUACAGGGGGUGGUGGCGAGUGAACGGGUGGAGGAGGUGAAUGAACUGGUGGCGGUGGAGAGUGGACUGGAGGUGGUGGAGAUGAAACUGGUGGCGGUGGAGAGUGGACUGGAGGUGGUGGAGAAGAAACUGGUGGCGGUGGAGAGUGGACUGGAGGUGGAGGUGAGUGAACUGGAGGUGGUGGAGAGUGGACUGGAGGUGGAGGUGAGUGAACUGGAGGUGGUGGAGAAUGGACUGGUGGAGGAGGUGAGUGAACUGGAGGUGGUGGGGAAUUGACUGGUGGAGGAGGUGAGUGAACUGGAGGUGGUGGGGAAUUGACUGGCGGAGGAGGUGAGUGAACUGGAGGUGGUGGAGAAUUGACUGGCGGAGGAG
This 462-nucleotide long non-coding RNA is filed under the name Cicer arietinum (chickpea). Its description in RNAcentral is "long non-coding RNA (CARI_LNC001602)". The record is from RNAcentral. Lineage: Eukaryota; Viridiplantae; Streptophyta; Magnoliopsida; Fabales; Fabaceae.